UGCGGAGGGAUCAUUGCUGGAACGCGCCCCUGGCGCACCCAGAAACCCUUUGUGAACUUAUACCUUACUGUUGCCUCGGCGCAGGCCGUCCUUACGGGACCCUUGGUAACAAGGAGCAGCCGGCCGGUGGCCAAGUUAACUCUUGUAUUAAUUUGUCUCUCUGAGCAUAAACAUAAAUGAAUCAAAACUUUCAACAACGGAUCUCUUGGUUCUGGCAUCGAUGAAGAACGCAGCGAAAUGCGAUAAGUAAUGUGAAUUGCAGAAUUCAGUGAAUCAUCGAAUCUUUGAACGCACAUUGCGCCCUCUGGUAUUCCGGAGGGCAUGCCUGUUCGAGCGUCAUUUCAACCCUCAAGCCUGGCUUGGUGUUGGGGCACUGCUUUACCCACAAGCAGGCCCUGAAAUAUAGUGGCGAGCUCGCCAGGACUCCGAGCGUAGUAGUUAAACCCUCGCUUUGGAAGGCCUGGCGGUGCCCUGCCGUUAAACCCCAACUUUUGAAAAUUUGACCUCGGAUCAGGUAGGAAUACCCGCUGAACUUAAGCAUAUCAAUAA
RNAcentral lists this ribosomal RNA (549 nucleotides) under fungal endophyte sp. P1514A. RNAcentral describes it as "eukaryotic LSU rRNA". The stretch from base 186 to 339 matches the Rfam family "5.8S ribosomal RNA". Lineage: Eukaryota; Fungi. The record is from RNAcentral.